UUCAGGCCGGUCAACGUCCCGCCCCGGCCCCGAGCUCCAGCCUCGCCCUUCCCACGGCGGCCCCACGGGGUUCUGGGUGCGGCCUCUCCUUACCUCCGUCGGACCCAAACGCCCAAAACGCUCACCCCGUCCUCAGCUCUGCCGAGCCCAAAGCCCCGCCCCUCCCGCUCCGUUCCCCACCGCGCAGCUCCAGGCCCCGCCCACCUAGUCCUCCUCCGCUGAGUUCCCGCGCGGCCCUUUCCCUCACGCCAAGGGUCGGCUCCCUAGAGGGUCGCCCCUCCACACACACCUCAGUACCUCCAGGCCGUUUCUAACGUAGCAGCGUCCCUCUGGGGGCCGCCCUUCCCCGCCCCCCACUCACCGGCACGGCUCCCCCGUUUCUCUCUAAAGCCCCCAGUCGGAGGGCCCUUUCAGUCCCUCUGCCUUCAACCCUGCCCUGGACAGGGCUCCGCCCGCGACACGGCCCCGCCGACACCUCCCCACCUGCGAGGGAGUCCUGGCCACCGCCCGCCACGCGCAGGGACCUGGAUCCCAUUGCCUCCUCCAAAUCCUUCACUCAGUGAGACGGGGUUGGCUGCUUUUCCCAACUUUAUCCUGCUCCUUCUCCUUUCUGUCUUCCUGCCUCCCCCGUCCUCCAUGUGUUCAGCAGUCUCUCAAAUGAAUCCCCAAAUGCCCCCGUCCCCUCCCCAGAUCCCCCUCCUCCCUCUCUGAGUGCCCGAAGGACUGACUCUGCCCCUUCCUGAGGGCACUGCUCCCAGAUGUCAUUUAUAUUCUAGUAACCUCUGAGCAGGGCUCUGAGUGCCCCCGACCUCCUUCGUGUCUGAAUCUGGCAACAGCGACACUUUGCUAAGUGAAUGGAUGUGAUUAAUAAAUUGAGCAAUGUUCAUUGGAAAACACAUUUAAUUUCAAAGUAAACAAAGAUGUUUGUACAUUAAAGUA
Molecule: long non-coding RNA, 939 nt
Organism: Suricata suricatta (meerkat)
Lineage: Eukaryota; Metazoa; Chordata; Mammalia; Carnivora; Herpestidae
Exons: 2
Source: RefSeq, a predicted model, not a curated record